This 520-nucleotide ribosomal RNA is filed under the name uncultured Streptomyces sp. RNAcentral describes it as "bacterial SSU rRNA". It matches the Rfam family "Bacterial small subunit ribosomal RNA", at positions 144 to 675 of the family's 1533-position model. The record is from RNAcentral. Lineage: Bacteria; Bacillati; Actinomycetota; Actinomycetes; Kitasatosporales; Streptomycetaceae.
CAAGCUCUGGAAACGGGGUCUAAUACCGGAUGGGACUGCCGGCCGCAUGGUCUGGUGGUGGAAAGCGUUUAGUGGUGCAGGAUGAGCCCGCGGCCUAUCAGCUUGUUGGUGGGGUGAGUGCCUACCAAGGCGACGACGGGUAGCCGGCCUGAGAGGGCGACCGGCCACACUGGGACUGAGACACGGCCCAGACUCCUACGGGAGGCAGCAGUGGGGAAUAUUGCACAAUGGGCGGAAGCCUGAUGCAGCGACGCCGCGUGAGGGAUGACGGCCUUCGGGUUGUAAACCUCUUUCAGCAGGGAAGAAGCCGCAAGUGACGGUACCUGCAGAAGAAGCACCGGCUAACUACGUGCCAGCAGCCGCGGUAAUACGUAGGGUGCGAGCGUUGUCCGGAAUUAUUGGGCGUAAAGAGCUCGUAGGCGGCGUGUCACGUCGGAUGUGAAAGCCCGGGGCUUAACUCCGGGUUUGCAUUCGAUACGGGCAGGCUAGAGUUCGGUAGGGGAGAUCGGAAUUCCUGGUG